AUACGUAGGUGACAAGCGUUAUCCGGAUUUACUGGGCGUAAAGGGCGUGUAGGCGGUCUUGCAAGUCAGAAGUGAAAUUCCUGAGCUCAACUCGGGCGCUGCUUCUGAAACUGCAGGACUUGAGUGCUGGAGGGGAUAGCGGAAUUCCUAGUGGAGCGGUAAAAUGCGCAGAUAUUAGGAAGAACACCGGUGGCGAAGGCGGCUAUCUGGAAAGUAACUGACGCUGAGGCGCGAAAGCGUGGGGAGCAAACAGGAUUAGAUGCCCUGGUAGUCCACGCCGUAAACGAUGAAUACUAGGUGUAGGGGGUAUCGACUCCCUCUGUGCCGCAGUUAACACAAUAAGUAUUCCGCCUGGGGAGUACGGCCGCAAGGUUGAAACUCAAAUGAAUUGGCGGGG
This 397-nucleotide ribosomal RNA is filed under the name uncultured bacterium. Its description in RNAcentral is "partial 16S ribosomal RNA". It matches the Rfam family "Bacterial small subunit ribosomal RNA", at positions 523 to 918 of the family's 1533-position model. The record is from RNAcentral.